This 484-nucleotide ribosomal RNA is filed under the name uncultured bacterium. RNAcentral describes it as "partial 16S ribosomal RNA". It matches the Rfam family "Bacterial small subunit ribosomal RNA", at positions 30 to 507 of the family's 1533-position model. The record is from RNAcentral.
AUUGAACGCUGGCGGCAGGCCUAACACAUGCAAGUCGAGCGGAUGAAGGGAGCUUGCUCCUGGAUUCAGCGGCGGACGGGUGAAUAAUGCCUAGGAAUCUGCCUGGUAGUGGGGGAUAACGUCCGGAAACGGGCGCUAAUACCGCAUACGUCCUGAGGGAGAAAGUGGGGGAUCUUCGGACCUCACGCUAUCAGAUGAGCCUAGGUCGGAUUAGCUAGUUGGUGGGGUAAAGGCCUACCAAGGCGACGAUCCGUAACUGGUCUGAGAGGAUGAUCAGUCACACUGGAACUGAGACACGGUCCAGACUCCUAAGGGAGGCAGCAGUGGGGAAUAUUGGACAAUGGGCGAAAGCCUGAUCCAGCCAUGCCGCGUGUGUGAAGAAGGUCUUCGGAUUGUAAAGCACUUUAAGUUGGGAGGAAGGGCAGUAAGUUAAUACCUUGCUGUUUUGACGUUACCAACAGAAUAAGCACCGGCUAACUUCGUG